UGGCGGACGGGUGAGUAACGCGUGGGCAACCUGGCCUGUACAGGGGGAUAACACUUAGAAAUAGGUGCUAAUACCGCAUAACGGGAGAAGCCGCAUGGCUUUUUCCUGAAAACUCCGGUGGUACAGGAUGGGCCCGCGUCUGAUUAGCCAGUUGGCAGGGUAACGGCUUACCAAAGCGACGAUCAGUAGCCGGCCUGAGAGGGCGGACGGCCACACUGGGACUGAGACACGGCCCAGACUCCUACGGGAGGCAGCAG
RNAcentral lists this ribosomal RNA (257 nucleotides) under uncultured bacterium. Its description in RNAcentral is "partial 16S ribosomal RNA". It matches the Rfam family "Bacterial small subunit ribosomal RNA", at positions 96 to 354 of the family's 1533-position model. The record is from RNAcentral.